RNAcentral lists this microRNA precursor (198 nucleotides) under Oryza barthii. RNAcentral's name for it is "MIR812 microRNA precursor family". It matches the Rfam family "MIR812 microRNA precursor family". The record is from Rfam by way of RNAcentral. Lineage: Eukaryota; Viridiplantae; Streptophyta; Magnoliopsida; Poales; Poaceae.
UACCACCCCUGCAAUACCAAUCCAUACAACGUUUGAUUCUUCGUCUUAUUUAUUUUUUAAUGGUAAAUAUUCUUAUUGUUAUUAGAUGAUAAAACAUGAAUAAUACUUUAUAUAUGCCUAUUUUAUUAAAAAAUAUAAAAUUUUCAAAUAAAACGGAUGGUCAAAUGUUGGAUACAGAAAUACAAAAAUGAACUUAAU